This 292-nucleotide ribosomal RNA is filed under the name uncultured bacterium. Its description in RNAcentral is "partial 16S ribosomal RNA". It matches the Rfam family "Bacterial small subunit ribosomal RNA", at positions 505 to 796 of the family's 1533-position model. The record is from RNAcentral.
GUGCCAGCCGCCGCGGUAACACGGACUGCGCGAACGUUAUUCGGAAUCAUUGGGCUUAAAGCGUCCGUAGGCGGCCGUGCAGGUGAGGUGUGAAAUCCCUCGGCUUAACCGAGGAAUUGCGCUUCAAACCACACGGCUUGAGAGAGAUAGAGGUGAGCGGAACUCACGGUGGAGCGGUGAAAUGCGUUGAUAUCGUGAGGAACACCGGUGGCGAAAGCGGCUCACUGGGUCUCCUCUGACGCUGAGGGACGAAAGCUAGGGGAGCGAACGGGAUUAGAUACCCUGGUAGUCC